Molecule: ribosomal RNA, 274 nt
Filed under: uncultured bacterium
Lineage: Bacteria
Description: partial 16S ribosomal RNA
Rfam family: Bacterial small subunit ribosomal RNA
Source: RNAcentral
AUACGGAGGGUGCAAGCGUUAAUCGGAAUUACUGGGCGUAAAGCGUACGUAGGCGGUUAUUUAAGUCAGAUGUGAAAGCCCCGGGCUUAACUUGGGAACUGCAUUUGAAACUGGGUAACUAGAGUUUAGUAGAGGGGAGUGGAAUUUCAGGUGUAGCGGUGAAAUGCGUAGAGAUCUGAAGGAACACCAGUGGCGAAGGCGACUCCCUGGACUAAAACUGACGCUGAGGUACGAGAGCGUGGGUAGCAAACAGGAUUAGAAACCCUAGUAGUCC